GCCGAGGUAGCUCAGUUGGUAGAGCAAUGCACUCGUAACGCAUAGGUCGCCGGUUCAAAUCCGGCCCUCGGCUCCA
This 76-nucleotide transfer RNA is filed under the name Minisyncoccota bacterium. RNAcentral's name for it is "tRNA-Thr". It matches the Rfam family "tRNA". Rfam says of the family: Transfer RNA (tRNA) molecules are approximately 80 nucleotides in length. Their secondary structure includes four short double-helical elements and three loops (D, anti-codon, and T loops). Lineage: Bacteria; Bacillati; Minisyncoccota. The record is from RNAcentral.